GUGACUCUAAAAAAUUAAUUUUUUUAACAUUUAAUUAAUACAGUAUAAAUUAAUUUGUUAUAAUCCUAACCUUAACUUAAUUCACUUAAACAUAUUUCCCCCAAUCUUUUCCUAAUUCCCCACAAAUUGCCCCAAGUCCCAAUCCCAAUUCGUUCCUCUUUUCCUAAUUCACUUAAACACUUAAAUUGAAAACGUGUGGAGCAAGUCCUCGCCGGAGCUCGCGAGUGAAGAAAUAGCAUAAUGACUGGACAAAUGAUGAUGACGUGACUCUAAAAAAUUAAUUUUUUUAACAUUUAAUUAAUACAGUAUAAAUUAAUUUGUUAUAAUCCUAACCUUAACUUAAUUCACUUAAACACUUAAAUUUAUUCCUUAAUCAUCAACAUCUUCAUCUGCUUAUAUAAAAAAAAUCAACACCUUCAUCUUCCACUGUUAUUCUCUUCAUCAUCAUCAUCCACCAUCAAAACAACCGAACCCA
RNAcentral lists this long non-coding RNA (475 nucleotides) under Lotus japonicus. RNAcentral describes it as "long non-coding RNA (LJAP_LNC000232)". Lineage: Eukaryota; Viridiplantae; Streptophyta; Magnoliopsida; Fabales; Fabaceae. The record is from RNAcentral.